RNAcentral lists this ribosomal RNA (392 nucleotides) under Stramenopiles sp. MAST-2C. Its description in RNAcentral is "partial small subunit ribosomal RNA". It matches the Rfam family "Eukaryotic small subunit ribosomal RNA", at positions 582 to 975 of the family's 1831-position model. The record is from RNAcentral.
AUUCCAGCUCCAAUGGCGUAUAUUAAAGUUGUUGCAGUUAAAAAGCUCGUAGUUGGAUUUCUGGCGGGAGCGACCGGUCGGCCCUUGUGGUGUGUACUAGCGUUGCGUCCGGCCAUAUUUGCGGAGAGCGUGUGUGGCAUUAAUUUGUCGUGCACGGGACCCGCAUCGUUUACUGUGAGAAAAUCAGAGUGUCCAAAGCAGGCUUAUGCCUUGGAUAUGUUAGCAUGGAAUAAUAAGAUAAGACUUUGGCGGUCUAUUUUGUUGGUUUGCACGCCAUUGUAAUGAUUGAUAGGGACAGUUGGGGGUAUUCAUAUUUAAUUGUCAGAGGUGAAAUUCUUGGAUUUAUGAAAGAUGAACUACUGCGAAAGCAUUUACCAAGGAUGUUUUCUUUA